CAUUUCUCUUUUAGCACGCUCUUUGUUUUCUUCUUCCAGAAGCUGUAGACGGCGAUUAAGUUUGAUUAUCUAAAAAAAGAAAGUCUGCUUUAAUGCCUGGUAUAAGACUGCUAGAUUCUCUAAAGAAUAUAUAAAAAGAAGCAUAUUUUAGAUACCUGUCUUCUUAAGGAAGCAGCAUCCACAACUGACAUGUCAUCUGGAGUUCCCUCAAGUGUUGCGUCCAAGUUUGAAAGACCGUACCUAUCAGAAGGGGGAAAAAAAGUUUAGCUGCUCUACAUGUUGCGUGAAGAGUAAUUGGUUUCUGCAAAGAACUGUUUGUGUGAUGAGGAAUGUAUGCAUCAGGGAAAGAAGGUGUGAAGGCCAUUUUUGAAGCCAGAUGGCCAAGGGAGAAGGAGUAAAGAAACUAAAAAGACUGAAAAGACUCAGAGAUGCCAGAGAACCAUCAAUGCGCAUCCAUCCUUGAGAAGGGACAGAUUAACGACCCUGAGAUGAAGGCUGGCAUCCUUAAAACACAAAAUUAAUUACAUCAAAACCAGACAGAAUGACCCUCCUGGAGGUGUUUUGGGCCAUCAAAAGAUAACACCCACUGAGGAGUAACCGGUCAUAAACAGACACAGUAAAUCCAUAGACUUCAAUGGAGAAGAAGGACUAUAAGAACAGGGUGCUUUGCCAUGGAGUCUUGCCAACAACUCCAGGAGCAUCAGAUCGCCACCAACAGAGCCUGGCUCCCCGCUGGGACCAAACUGGCUGGCCACUAGAUUGAUCCAAACUCUACACUAGUAACUAUAAACAUCAACUGGCAAAACUGUGUGUGUGUGUGUAAGUUACUAAAAAGCAUAUACUAACUGCUAUAUUCUCAAAUGCAGCGUGUUGCCUUUUCCCCUAUAAAAAAAAAAUCUUGUGUGCUCUGUAUAGCAUAACACUGUGGCUGAAAGAGAUCAGCUGGAUUAUCAACUGAUAUGUGAAAAAACUAGUUUUUGAAAGGCAAGGAACUGCAGUGAACUUUGUUGAGGGACAACCUAAUUAGGCAACCUCCUGUCAAAACAGCCACUGUCAUCCUAAGUCACUAUAAAACAAACAUUUCCUUACCUAUAAGGAUAAUUAAAACAGGGGGACUUUUAAAAUUCAAUUUACUGUGUGUUAUUUAUGCUGUUUACUAUUUACAUUUCCCUCAGCUUAGACUAUGUGAAAAUCAAUGAAGUGUUUCACUUUCAGGAUCUCUCUACUGCAGCAAUCAGGUUGCAAACACAGCAGAGGAAUGUUUAAAUAUACAUUUCAGUAUAUUAAAAACCACUGUGAAGAUUUCUGCUGAUUUAGGUUUUAUAAAACACUGUAGAAAAAUCUAAAUUUUCUGCCAAAUUUGAAUCUAAGGAUCCUUUCUCAGAGAUAACCAGUAUCCAUAGACUUGAUGAGUACAAUUCUGUUUCAUCUUUAUUGGGCAGAUUUUCUGGAGGAAAAAAAUAUGAACUAGGAACAGUCCCCUAAACCAGACAGUGAAUGUACCUGUCCUUGAGCUGUUUUGAGGGGAUAAUCUCACUGGGCAUCUAGGAAACGAAUCCUCAGGUUUUACCUAACUAUAGCCUGGAGAGAAAAAAAAAAAAACAUUCUCGAUGGGCCUAACUGCCUCCACCACUUACAGAACUGCAGGAAGUGACACUGGCUGGAAUUCAAAGACAACUCUGCAUUAGACCCCUCAGGAUAGUGCUGUUAUGCCACAGAGGGAGAAAGCUCUAUCUGGAUUGGAGCAAAUUUAUAUACACAGAAACUUGAAAAUCCCUCACAGCAAGGAAGACUUGAUACUGAGGCCAGGUGGUGGCAGCCUGUAUUAAAUAGUUCCACAUGGCAUAAUUUCCUAAUGUUGUGGUGACGCAAAGGCCUUUUUCUUGCUUACAACAUAGCUGUGGCAUAAUACUUAAAUGAUAUAAAUCACUCAGACUUUCCACUACAAUUGCUCCAGCCAUCUCCUGUUGCUUAAUGUCACAGGUCAUUUGUAAGCCACAGUGAACCUAUGACACAGAAACUGGGGGAGUAGGGAGCUUUCAGGGGCUACUGUAUCAAUGGCUGAAGAAAAAAAAAAAACGUAUACAAAUCUGACCAGACCACUUGCAGACUAGUCUGUUGGCAUCACAAUCCUAUCCCUCAGAGCUGGCUGAAACCUCACUGGUUCUAUCAGUCUCCUCAGAUGGCAUAUUGAAAACAGAGCCAGCAUUCCAAUGACAUAGGUGCACUCCAACCUCAGACGGCAGCAGUUAUGAUAAGUCUAUCACAAGUGUAUUAUUAUCACCUCACCAACCUCCAAUCCCCUUCCAAAUACUAGAUCCAGAUUGUAAUCAGCUAUACUGGCAGAGCCAAAAAUCACUCUCAAUUAUGAAAGCUAUAAAUUCCCAAGUCAACCCAGAAGAAUGAUCUGUAUGGAUCCAGACUUGGAGAUCUGUUAAGGGUUAGUCUUAUAGACCAAUUUUUCUUAUUUUAAAAUGUUAAUGUUUAGAUAACAGAAAAAGGAGUUACCACCCCUACUCAGCUUUUAAAAAUCUUUAUAACUUUUGUAUAUUCAGGAUGUUUACCUUUGGGGAGAUGGCAGGGGUGGUAAAGAAUGGGAGGUGGAAGGAAGUGAAAUUUACAUAAUAUGCAGAAAGAAAGAUUUCUCAUAGUUUUAGCCAUCAGAUCAUAAAUCAGGUUUUUACCCACUUACAUUGAAAUGACACCCAUCUAACAGAAAAAUGGAUAUGGGAAACCCCAUGCAAAACAAUAAGGCACAUUAUUGAAAACGUCUACAUUUUACUGUUUAUACACACUUUAGAUAUUAUUUGGCUUCACACCACUUUAUUUACUUCCCUCAGAGAAAAGCAGAGGUCAGAGGCCCAAUGGAAGUACUACCACAUGUGCUUCUAUCAUAGAUUAAAAGCUUCAAUUGACAAAUUGAAACUAAAUUCUAAAGCUGACAACAUAUUUUAAGGACCUGAACCUUAAUGAGAGCUUUGCUAAUGACAGUGAUAGGCAUACAGUCAUGCCCCACAGAACCUCUCUCUAUGCAGAAAGGAUGUUGAUCAAAUGUUAUGUUCAGCAUAGGUGUCCCCAAAACUAUUUUGGGAUUCAGUAAUCAAAAACAAUUAAGUCAUGAAAUUUUAAAGCCUAAAAUAGUGCACCCUGACUAAAAAGAAAUACGUUUACCUGGUGUUUUCAUGAUGAGGGUUAGAGGAAGUGGCAGCAGCUGACCCACCUCGUAACACAGGCCUACGGCAGGUUAUUGCAGAUAGGAGGCACAAGACAGAAGCAGGAAACAGCAUAAACACAGAGAAAAGAUACAACAAAAGAAACAAGGACAAAGAAAUGUCAAAAUAUUUUCCAUUAUAUUGUAUGGUAUUUCAAUACAAUAUAAUAUUUAGUUAAUAUCGUGUUAUAAACUGUAUUUUUGAAAUACCCCAUAUAAUAUUCUUUUUAUUUAAUAUAGCACUAACAAUAAAAGUAUGCAGCUAUUGUAACAACCUAGUCAUUCUUGAUGGAAAAGACUGAUUUAUGGGUAUAUAUGCUGUUGAGAUACAAGUCUGUGAAUAAGAGCUCUCGAUAUAGGCUUUUUAAAUGCUAAUAAUGAAAAACAAUCUCAGCUCCUCCUCUUCUCCCCUUCACUUACUGUCUUUCUUCCAAUUUCUUUUUUUAACUCUUUUCUUUCUGUCCUCUUCGGAUCCAUCUCAGCAGAAACAGAAGAGCCAAGGCUUUCCAGGUUGCUACAAUUAUGUCUAGUAUGCUCAUGGCUGCUGAAAAGGUACUAAGGUCUUGAUUUCCAGAACUGCUGAGCACCCACAGCACCUCCUAACUUACUGUGGAGUUGCAGGCAUUUAGCACUUCUCAAAAUGAGGCUGUAAGUGACCUCUAGCAUCUGUCUGUAUGCUGAAACAUCUAUGAUGUGUAAUCACUUCUCCAAAGCCUUGGGGGUCUCUUUUUCUCACUCUUAUCUCACUUCAGGCCAGCUGCAGACAUCUGCACAACAUGCUAGUCCCAAGUAUGUACUAGGCUCCAGGUAAGACUAAAGAAUCCAGGUGUGAUGACCUUUAGAGCAGAAGUGUGUGGGCAAGAGGAUACACACAGCCCACAGGUCUGGCGCUGAGAAGGCUGAGAGAACUCUCUCUGGGGAAGGAGUAGAGGUGAGCAACCAUGUACACAAAAGAACACACAAAAACCUCACAAUUAGUAGUUUCAUUUCAAGAAGAUGAAGAUUGAGGUGCACAAACAGAACAGUGCGGAAACCUUGCACUGUGCUUACUUGCACUAGGCCUGGCUCUGAUCAGCAAUUCUGGUGCUUAACUUGUAUCAGCAACAAACUCACCCAUAAAAUUAAAAAUACAAAAAAAAGUUUCCAUAACAUACACCUCUACCCCGAUAUAACACGAUCCAAUAUGACACUAAUUCGGAUAUAACGUGGUAAA
Chelonia mydas (Green sea turtle) is the source of this 4424-nucleotide long non-coding RNA. RefSeq lists it as uncharacterized. The transcript has 3 exons. The record is from RefSeq and is a predicted model, not a curated record. NCBI's taxonomy places the organism in Eukaryota, Metazoa, Chordata, Testudines, Cheloniidae.